Molecule: long non-coding RNA, 619 nt
Filed under: Setaria italica (foxtail millet)
Lineage: Eukaryota; Viridiplantae; Streptophyta; Magnoliopsida; Poales; Poaceae
Description: long non-coding RNA (SITA_LNC000695)
Source: RNAcentral
CAACAUGGAGGAGCACGGGGGUCGCAGGUACAAAAGGACUAUUUUGAAAAUUAUUAGGGGGUUUAAUGAAAAAUAUUGGAUCGCGAUUAUUAAAUCGCGAUCCAAUUUAGAGGGUUAUAUGCAAAUAUUUGGAUCGCGAUUAUUGAUCGCGAUCCAAAUUAGGGAGGUUUAUGUAAAAUUUUGGAUGCGAUUCAAUUUAGGGGGGUUUGCGUAAAUUUUCUUAACAGUCCGGAGCAAGCUUAAUGGCGACUUCGGGCGGCGCCGCCGCCGGGAAUCCGGCGUCGGCGGCGCCGAAACCACCCCAGCUCCCCACUUCGACGAUGGGGGACCACCAGAUCUACUAGUCCCCCGCCUUUUCCCCCGUCGCUCCGCCACCGUUCCCUCGCCGCGGCGGGCAGCUGGCACCCGCUCUUGCUCAGGCCGUGCUCACCCCUACGCCGGCGGCGACCAACCACCGGCAGGCGGCAUCGAUUCCUCUGCUCCCACUACGGAAAAGCCUGAAUGAGAGGGAGACGACGACGGAUGGAUCUCCAGAUUGUUUUUCCUCUUGUUUUUUUAACAAAAUUAUUCAGUUAUCCAUCAAGAACAAACGAACUCGUAUUUCCAGUGAUCAGGGAAC